GAUGAACGCUAGCGGGAGGCUUAAUACAUGCAAGUCGAGGGGCAGCAUGGGACUUCGGUCCUGAUGGCGACCGGCGCACGGGUGAGUAACGCGUACACAAUCUACCUUUAACUGAGGAAUAGCCCUGGGAAACUGGGAUUAAUGCCUCAUAGUUUUUCGAUUCGCAUGAAUUGGGGAAUAAAGUUUCGGCGGUUAGAGAUGAGUGUGCGUCCUAUUAGCUUGUUGGUAAGGUAACGGCUUACCAAGGCUACGAUAGGUAGGGGGCGUGAGAGCGUGAUCCCCCACACGGGUACUGAGACACGGACCCG
RNAcentral lists this ribosomal RNA (308 nucleotides) under uncultured bacterium. Its description in RNAcentral is "bacterial SSU rRNA". It matches the Rfam family "Bacterial small subunit ribosomal RNA", at positions 28 to 334 of the family's 1533-position model. The record is from RNAcentral.